RNAcentral lists this long non-coding RNA (114 nucleotides) under Ictidomys tridecemlineatus (thirteen-lined ground squirrel). Its description in RNAcentral is "lncRNA (ENSSTOG00000030731.1)". The record is from RNAcentral. Lineage: Eukaryota; Metazoa; Chordata; Mammalia; Rodentia; Sciuridae.
GCUCAGAAGAAACUGAAUUGAAGGAAAGACAGUUGAUCUUGAAGCGGGCUUGUUCUUUCCAUUUGGGCCAUCCCAGGGGAUUCCUACAUCUGUCCUGCUUUUUGGAGGCUGGUU